UUUUGUUGGUUUUCGGAGCUCGAGGUAAUGAUUAAUAGGGACAGACGGGGGCAUUCGUAUUGCGGCGCUAGAGGUGAAAUUCUUGGACCGUCGCAAGACGAACUACAGCGAAAGCAUUUGCCAAGCAUGUUUUCAUUAAUCAAGAACGAAAGUCAGAGGUUCGAAGACGAUCAGAUACCGUCGUAGUUCUGACCAUAAACGAUGCCAACUGUCGAUCCGCCGGAGUUGCUUCAAUGACUCGGCGGGCAGCCUCCGGGAAACCAAAGUUUCUGGGUUCCGGGGGGAGUAUGGUUGCAAAGCUGAAACUUAAAGGAAUUGACGGAAGGGCACCACCAGGAGUGGAGCCUGUGGCUUAAUUUGACUCAACACGGGGAACCUCACCCGGCCCGGACACUGCAAGGAUUGACAGAUUGAGAGCUCUUUCUUGAUUCGGUGGGUGGUGGUGCA
This 447-nucleotide ribosomal RNA is filed under the name Archivesica nanshaensis. RNAcentral's name for it is "SSU rRNA". It matches the Rfam family "Eukaryotic small subunit ribosomal RNA", at positions 839 to 1284 of the family's 1831-position model. The record is from RNAcentral. Lineage: Eukaryota; Metazoa; Mollusca; Bivalvia; Venerida; Vesicomyidae.